Gossypium raimondii (Peruvian cotton) is the source of this 1111-nucleotide long non-coding RNA. RefSeq lists it as uncharacterized. The transcript has 2 exons. NCBI's taxonomy places the organism in Eukaryota, Viridiplantae, Streptophyta, Magnoliopsida, Malvales, Malvaceae. The record is from RefSeq and is a predicted model, not a curated record.
GUUAACAAUAGAAAUGGAUGACUCUUAGUAGAAUUUGACUCUUAAUAUAAAUACCUCUACGAUACUUUUACCCCAUUUUUCAAUUAUUUAGAAAAACAAAAAUAGUGAGAUACUAUAAAUAAUUUCGUUGAUCAAACCAUAUUACCAUACCCAAGUUUGAAAACAUGGUACCUAUCAGCACCAUCAUCAUCUUCUUCCUCGACGCUUUUUCUUCCCUUCUAAGCCCUGCAACUUCUUUACGUGUCUCUUCUUCUUCUCCCAACUCGCCGGCUAUGUUGAUGCUCGGAUUCGAUUCCUUCAAUCCCCAUUUCUCAACCUUUCAACUGUUACAUAUCGGAUACGCAAUUUCAUGAGAGGUAAUUCAAUCUUUCAACAGUUGAAUCACACUUUUUUUGGGGGGUUUUACAGGGGAGAGAAAAGGGUUUACAAAUCAAAAAGUUUCAUAAUGUAUAUAUUGGUUUUGAUGAAUAUUUCUUCUCUAUUUCAUCAUUGAUGUAUAUUUUAUUGUACAUUUUUCCUUUUAGCUCUGAUUUAAGAAAUACUGCCGAUCUUACAUGCAGUUUCUUGUAUGCAAUUUGAUGUGUAAAUAGCUAUUUGUGCUUUUCUUGUUUUUGGCCAUAAACUUCAUCGUCUAUAUUCCUUAAAACGUGCCACCAUUACGAGUUGCGUGUAAAGACACCACAUAUGAGCUACCAGAGACAAGGCGUCGGGUAAAAGCAAAUCACAAGAUUAUGAUCGGAGAAAAGAUUAGAUCAAGCAAAAAGAAAAAUUCAAAGAAUUCUACAAAGAUUCAUUCGGUUCGUACUUGCUUUUUUACAAAGUACUACAAUGCGUACUUGAAUACUUGUAUUUUUGACUUUUUGAGAUGAGAUGAAGAGAGUGCUUAUUUUGUUCAGUUAGGAGCUUAUUUCUGUUCAAAUUUGUUAUAAUUCAGAUUUGUUGUUCAGUUUGCAAUUAAACUUUCAAAGGAAAAAGUUUUAAUGAAAGAGUGAUGUAGAUUAUAUAUAAAGGAGUGAGAUUGUAUCUUGGUGAGUAAGUUAGAUUUAGAUGAUAUUUUACUCUUCAAGUAAAACUCCGUUUACGUAAGAAGUUUCCAAACUAUGUAUGUAAA